Molecule: ribosomal RNA, 2925 nt
Filed under: Escherichia coli
Lineage: Bacteria; Pseudomonadati; Pseudomonadota; Gammaproteobacteria; Enterobacterales; Enterobacteriaceae
Description: bacterial LSU rRNA
Rfam family: Bacterial large subunit ribosomal RNA
Source: RNAcentral
GGGUUGUGAGGUUAAGCGACUAAGCGUACACGGUGGAUGCCCUGGCAGUCAGAGGCGAUGAAGGACGUGCUAAUCUGCGAUAAGCGUCGGUAAGGUGAUAUGAACCGUUAUAACCGGCGAUUUCCGAAUGGGGAAACCCAGUGUGUUUCGACACACUAUCAUUAACUGAAUCCAUAGGUUAAUGAGGCGAACCGGGGGAACUGAAACAUCUAAGUACCCCGAGGAAAAGAAAUCAACCGAGAUUCCCCCAGUAGCGGCGAGCGAACGGGGAGCAGCCCAGAGCCUGAAUCAGUGUGUGUGUUAGUGGAAGCGUCUGGAAAGGCGCGCGAUACAGGGUGACAGCCCCGUACACAAAAAUGCACAUGCUGUGAGCUCGAUGAGUAGGGCGGGACACGUGGUAUCCUGUCUGAAUAUGGGGGGACCAUCCUCCAAGGCUAAAUACUCCUGACUGACCGAUAGUGAACCAGUACCGUGAGGGAAAGGCGAAAAGAACCCCGGCGAGGGGAGUGAAAAAGAACCUGAAACCGUGUACGUACAAGCAGUGGGAGCACGCUUAGGCGUGUGACUGCGUACCUUUUGUAUAAUGGGUCAGCGACUUAUAUUCUGUAGCAAGGUUAACCGAAUAGGGGAGCCGAAGGGAAACCGAGUCUUAACUGGGCGUUAAGUUGCAGGGUAUAGACCCGAAACCCGGUGAUCUAGCCAUGGGCAGGUUGAAGGUUGGGUAACACUAACUGGAGGACCGAACCGACUAAUGUUGAAAAAUUAGCGGAUGACUUGUGGCUGGGGGUGAAAGGCCAAUCAAACCGGGAGAUAGCUGGUUCUCCCCGAAAGCUAUUUAGGUAGCGCCUCGUGAAUUCAUCUCCGGGGGUAGAGCACUGUUUCGGCAAGGGGGUCAUCCCGACUUACCAACCCGAUGCAAACUGCGAAUACCGGAGAAUGUUAUCACGGGAGACACACGGCGGGUGCUAACGUCCGUCGUGAAGAGGGAAACAACCCAGACCGCCAGCUAAGGUCCCAAAGUCAUGGUUAAGUGGGAAACGAUGUGGGAAGGCCCAGACAGCCAGGAUGUUGGCUUAGAAGCAGCCAUCAUUUAAAGAAAGCGUAAUAGCUCACUGGUCGAGUCGGCCUGCGCGGAAGAUGUAACGGGGCUAAACCAUGCACCGAAGCUGCGGCAGCGACGCUUAUGCGUUGUUGGGUAGGGGAGCGUUCUGUAAGCCUGUGAAGGUGUGCUGUGAGGCAUGCUGGAGGUAUCAGAAGUGCGAAUGCUGACAUAAGUAACGAUAAAGCGGGUGAAAAGCCCGCUCGCCGGAAGACCAAGGGUUCCUGUCCAACGUUAAUCGGGGCAGGGUGAGUCGACCCCUAAGGCGAGGCCGAAAGGCGUAGUCGAUGGGAAACAGGUUAAUAUUCCUGUACUUGGUGUUACUGCGAAGGGGGGACGGAGAAGGCUAUGUUGGCCGGGCGACGGUUGUCCCGGUUUAAGCGUGUAGGCUGGUUUUCCAGGCAAAUCCGGAAAAUCAAGGCUGAGGCGUGAUGACGAGGCACUACGGUGCUGAAGCAACAAAUGCCCUGCUUCCAGGAAAAGCCUCUAAGCAUCAGGUAACAUCAAAUCGUACCCCAAACCGACACAGGUGGUCAGGUAGAGAAUACCAAGGCGCUUGAGAGAACUCGGGUGAAGGAACUAGGCAAAAUGGUGCCGUAACUUCGGGAGAAGGCACGCUGAUAUGUAGGUGAAGUCCCUCGCGGAUGGAGCUGAAAUCAGUCGAAGAUACCAGCUGGCUGCAACUGUUUAUUAAAAACACAGCACUGUGCAAACACGAAAGUGGACGUAUACGGUGUGACGCCUGCCCGGUGCCGGAAGGUUAAUUGAUGGGGUUAGCGCAAGCGAAGCUCUUGAUCGAAGCCCCGGUAAACGGCGGCCGUAACUAUAACGGUCCUAAGGUAGCGAAAUUCCUUGUCGGGUAAGUUCCGACCUGCACGAAUGGCGUAAUGAUGGCCAGGCUGUCUCCACCCGAGACUCAGUGAAAUUGAACUCGCUGUGAAGAUGCAGUGUACCCGCGGCAAGACGGAAAGACCCCGUGAACCUUUACUAUAGCUUGACACUGAACAUUGAGCCUUGAUGUGUAGGAUAGGUGGGAGGCUUUGAAGUGUGGACGCCAGUCUGCAUGGAGCCGACCUUGAAAUACCACCCUUUAAUGUUUGAUGUUCUAACGUUGACCCGUGAUCCGGGUUGCGGACAGUGUCUGGUGGGUAGUUUGACUGGGGCGGUCUCCUCCUAAAGAGUAACGGAGGAGCACGAAGGUUGGCUAAUCCUGGUCGGACAUCAGGAGGUUAGUGCAAUGGCAUAAGCCAGCUUGACUGCGAGCGUGACGGCGCGAGCAGGUGCGAAAGCAGGUCAUAGUGAUCCGGUGGUUCUGAAUGGAAGGGCCAUCGCUCAACGGAUAAAAGGUACUCCGGGGAUAACAGGCUGAUACCGCCCAAGAGUUCAUAUCGACGGCGGUGUUUGGCACCUCGAUGUCGGCUCAUCACAUCCUGGGGCUGAAGUAGGUCCCAAGGGUAUGGCUGUUCGCCAUUUAAAGUGGUACGCGAGCUGGGUUUAGAACGUCGUGAGACAGUUCGGUCCCUAUCUGCCGUGGGCGCUGGAGAACUGAGGGGGGCUGCUCCUAGUACGAGAGGACCGGAGUGGACGCAUCACUGGUGUUCGGGUUGUCAUGCCAAUGGCACUGCCCGGUAGCUAAAUGCGGAAGAGAUAAGUGCUGAAAGCAUCUAAGCACGAAACUUGCCCCGAGAUGAGUUCUCCCUGACUCCUUGAGAGUCCUGAAGGAACGUUGAAGACGACGACGUUGAUAGGCCGGGUGUGUAAGCGCAGCGAUGCGUUGAGCUAACCGGUACUAAUGAACCGUGAGGCUUAACCUUACAACGCCGAAG